RNAcentral lists this long non-coding RNA (510 nucleotides) under Fukomys damarensis (Damara mole-rat). Its description in RNAcentral is "lncRNA (ENSFDAG00000032681.1)". The record is from RNAcentral. Lineage: Eukaryota; Metazoa; Chordata; Mammalia; Rodentia; Bathyergidae.
UGCUGCUGGUGCCCUGAUUUACCUUGGGCAAAGAUUUACCUCACUGUUACAGUGGUUCUGGAGGGGUUUUCUCACGCCCUGAAUCAGAGACCCAGGACUGACCCAGCCGGACCAAUCUGAUCAGCACAUUGCCCUGGCCACAGUGAUUGGCUUGGAGUGAGCACAUGACUCAGGUCUGGCCAAUCAGAUGAGGCUGUGUCUUUGCUCAGGUGGUGGCUGGGCCGGAAGGAUGGGACACAAGAGCUUUGGGGUCUCCCUUGGUCGUGAGGUCAGCCCUGACCUCUGAGGUGUUAAUGGGGUGAAUCUGGGAGACUUCGGAGCAGAAGGAGAGAAAACUGCUCUUCCUGGAAGGGCUUCUGAUCAUUUGUUAAAAGCAGAUGAAAAGCUGUGAGCGGUAAGGAACUCCCCUCACUUCGUCCACACAGGGCAAACAUCAGAGGAGCCUUGAAGAACGCGGAUCACACAUUUAUACAAGCACACGGACCAAGCAUUCGGUCAGGUGUGUGUCUG